This 681-nucleotide ribosomal RNA is filed under the name uncultured bacterium. Its description in RNAcentral is "bacterial SSU rRNA". It matches the Rfam family "Bacterial small subunit ribosomal RNA", at positions 58 to 728 of the family's 1533-position model. The record is from RNAcentral.
CAAGUCGAACGGUAACAGGAAGAAGCUUGCUUCUUUGCUGACGAGUGGCGGACGGGUGAGUAAUGUCUGGGAAACUGCCUGAUGGAGGGGGAUAACUACUGGAAACGGUAGCUAAUACCGCAUAACGUCGCAAGACCAAAGAGGGGGACCUUCGGGCCUCUUGCCAUCGGAUGUGCCCAGAUGGGAUUAGCUUGUUGGUGGGGUAACGGCUCACCAAGGCGACGAUCCCUAGCUGGUCUGAGAGGAUGACCAGCCACACUGGAACUGAGACACGGUCCAGACUCCUACGGGAGGCAGCAGUGGGGAAUAUUGCACAAUGGGCGCAAGCCUGAUGCAGCCAUGCCGCGUGUAUGAAGAAGGCCUUCGGGUUGUAAAGUACUUUCAGCGGGGAGGAAGGGAGUAAAGUUAAUACCUUUGCUCAUUGACGUUACCCGCAGAAGAAGCACCGGCUAACUCCGUGCCAGCAGCCGCGGUAAUACGGAGGGUGCAAGCGUUAAUCGGAAUUACUGGGCGUAAAGCGCACGCAGGCGGUUUGUUAAGUCAGAUGUGAAAUCCCCGGGCUCAACCUGGGAACUGCAUCUGAUACUGGCAAGCUUGAGUCUCGUAGAGGGGGGUAGAAUUCCAGGUGUAGCGGUGAAAUGCGUAGAGAUCUGGAGGAAUACCGGUGGCGAAGGCGGCCCC